AAGCUCUCCUUGGAAACUUUAUAAUUUAAAAAAAAAAAAACAAAGCCUCCUGAAUCCACAAAUGUUUUUAAAUGAAUUCAGGUCCCAAAUUCCUGGAGUAGGGUGGGGAGGCAGAAGAUGAUGGAAAGUCUUUCAGUGUGUCAAGGGCGCUGGAGCCCUCUCCCACCUCCCAAGCGCUUGCUGACGGGGACACAAGAGCCCUCGCGCAUCUGGGGAAGUGUCUCCUUUUGAAAACGCACGGGUCCUUGUGCUCUGAGUGUUUUGAGUCCGGUCCAUUAUGAGAAAUCUCCUUUUGAGGAUGGACAUAUUCAAAUCCAGAUGCUGUUCUUCCAGAACAAAAAGCGCCCUCCAAACUCUGUGAAGAAAGAGGUUCUCAUCCUUUGAAGGAAUAACAUCUCUUGAUAAGCGGAUUUUUUUCCCCCAGCCAAGAACGUGCUUUUCUGAAUUUGCUAAAACUGGUUUAAUAGCCUGUCCCUGUUCCACGUCUGAUGCCAGGAUGGCAGCAACAAGGUGGAAUGUCACUGGCUGCUGGAUUCAGUAGAUGGAGUAUGGCUUCACUAAGAAGAGGUUGGAUUUUUAAAAUAUACACGGUUUAUUUAGAAGAAUUUCUUUUAAUUCAAGACAUACAUUCUAAUGGGACAAGUGUAAGAUGAAAUAUGGAUUAUCAGAAAAACUUCCCAAAUUGUACAUUUCACUUUGCUGAUUCAAAGAUCUUUGGAUAAUUAAAAAUAAAUUAAAAGAAAAAAGAAGAGUUCCUGUCGUGGAGCAGCAGAAACAAAUCCAACUAGGAACCAUGAGGUUGCAGGUUCGAUCCCUGGCCUUGCUCAGUGGGUUAAGGAUCCAGCAUUGCUGUGAGCUGUGGUGUAGGUCACAGAUGAGGCUUGGAUCCUGCGCUGCUGUGGCGUACGCCGGCAGCUGUAGCUCCAAUUAGAUCCCUAGCCUGGGAACCUCCAUAUGCCAGGGGUCCAGCCCUAGAAAGACAAAAGGCCAGAAAAAAAAGAAAGAAAGGAAAAAAAAGAACCCAUGCCUUAAGAUAAUAAAUAUGUCUGGGAGUUCCCGUCGUGGCGCAGUGGUUAACGAAUCCGACUAGGAACCAUGAGGUUGCGGGUUCGGUCCCUGCCCUUGCUCAGUGGGUUAACGAUCCGGCGUUGCCGUGAGCUGUGGUGUAGGUCGCAGACGCGGCUCGGAUCAUGCGUUGCUGUGCCUCUGGCGUAGGCUGGUGGCUACAGCUCCGAUUCGACCCCUAGCCUGGGAACCUCCAUAUGCCGCGGGAGCGGCCCAAGAAAUAGCAACAACAACAACAACAACAAAAGACAAAAAAAAAAAAAAAAAAAAAAAAAAAAAGAAAGAAAAAAAAAAUAUGUCUAUCACCUUUUAAAAAAAAUCCUCAAAUAACAAAUUUUCAGAAAAAAAGAAUGUGAGUUCUCCUUGUGGCUCAGCAAUAGCGAACCCGACUAGUAGACUAGUAUCUAUGAGGAUGACGAUUCGAUGUCUGGCCUUGAUCAGUGGGUUUAGGAUCCAGCGUUGCUGUGGCUGUGGCAUAGGCCAGCAGCUAUAGCUCCCAUUCGAAUCCUAGCCUGGGAACUUCCAUAUGCCAAAGGUGUGGCCCUAAAAAGAAAAAAAAAAAAAAAAAAUUUAAGAAUGACUGAAGAAAAGGGGUUUGCUGGCUCUGUAGAACUGGGGGCUUGGCGUCGGAACUUCAGGUAGGUUUUUAUACAGAAAGAAAGCAAUGUAGGAAGUUCCCAUUGUGGCACAGCAGUAAUGAACUUGACUAGCAUCCAUGGGGACUCAGGUUCAAUCCCUGGCCUCACUCAGUGGUUAAGGGUCUGGUGUUGUUGUCACUGCUGCGGCUUGGGUUGCUGCUAUGGCAUGGGUUCGAUCCCUGGGAACUUGCACUUGCGACAAGCAUGGCAAAAAAAGAAAAUCAAAAACAACCUCAAUGUCUCUCGGUCACAAACUCCAUAAAUAAAUUAUGGUACAUCCUUACAACGGAAUAUUCUCCAGCUGACCAUUUUUUGGUAAUGAAGCAGUAUAACAUACACUGACUGGAAUUACUUCAAAGGUCUAUUACAAAGUAAGAAAAGCGAGGCUCGGUUGGCUAUAUAGAGGGCUUCAUUUGUAUAAAAAUAAAGAGACAAAGCAGGAUAUCUGUGAACAAACAUUUGCUUGUAGCUGCAUAGAUUCUAUCUGGAAAGAUACAUAAGAAACUGCUAACUUCAGUUCCUGGAAAACAAAAUCAUUUGAAGGUCCAUGGAAAGAAGAGUUGGUUGCUAAUCUAAACACACCCAUGCCUUUUGCACCUUUUGCAUUGUGUAUAUAUCACCUGUUCAAAAAAAAAAAUCUAUGUAGAACAUCAAGAUGCCUCUAGUACUUCAAAAACUAACAGUAAAAAGAGAAAAUACAGCCAUUUUAGCUUUUCAUCUUUUGAAAAUAACAACUAUUCAUACCUGAAAUGGGUUAUUUGAGGAAAUGAUAUCUUUUAUCUCUUUGUUUAAAAACAAAGCACAACAUGGGUUUUUAAAAUAACCAGCUAAAUCACAAAAAAAUGAAGCACAGGAUGCAACAAUUCUAAUCUCCCAUGUAUUGAAAGCAAAUAUAUCUAUUUCUUAAUUCUUAUCAUGCAGUUAAAUUUCAAUCUAUAAUGAUAAUUUCAGCAUACAUUCAAUCCCCAAACCAAGACCAACAAGAUAUUUUCAAUUUCUUUGUCUAUAAAUCUGGUUUAUUCAGAAGGGUUUGAAAAGUUCCUGUCAUGGCUCAGUGGUUAUGAACCCGACUAGCAUCCAUGAGGACACCGGUUCAAUCCCUGGCCUUGCUCAGUGGGUUGAGGAUCUGGCAUUGCCAUGAGCUGUGCUGUAGGUCGCAGACACGGCUCAAAUCCCACCUUGCUGUGGCUCUGGAGUAAGCUGGUGGCUGUAUCUCCGAUUUGACCCCUAGUCUGGGAACCUCCAGUGCAGCCCUAAAAGACAAAAAAAAAAAAAAAAAGUUUUGCAAGGUCUUUGGUGUAAAAACAAUUUGAAUGUUCAAACAUAUUGAUAAAUACAACCUGGGCUCACUGUGUAUGGCUAUGCAAGCUGCAAACUGUACAACUCCAGGGGUUGCUUUUCAGAUCCUAAGUCAAAUUGUGCAGUGCACUACCUGUGCAACUGGGCAUGUCAAUCCUGUGGCUACUGAAAAUGUUGGACACUGUGGAAAGAAAGUUUUUGGGCAGGGGAGGGUAGGUGUCAAAGCUGGGGUCACAUAGAUUGUGAGGCCAGAAUUUCAUACAUCCUAUCUCUCCAGGCUGGCCUCCCUUUUGGAGGCUCUGAAAACAGAAAUAGCCUAAGUUUUCUCUGAGCCUUAUAGCCUUGGUUUUCCUAAGGUUGGGGCCAAGGGACCAUCUGCCAGGGCCUACAAUCACCUCCUCAGCCUGUACAACUCAAAGUCCUCUUUAAUCACUUGGCAGCUGAGAAGGAAGGCCAGAAGAAGGGCCCCCACUGUACCCCCUCAUCUUUAUUCCUACCCUAAUGGAGGCAGAGGCAGUUCGCACAAGGGUAGAGGUGGUGGUGAUGGAACCUUAAGUGAUGUUCUGGACAUUUGGCCUCUGGAACCUGCUCUACCACCACCACCUUUCUGUGUGAUCUUGGCAAAUCUUUAAGCCUCUCUGGGCUUUUCCAUCCCUGUUUGCAAAAUGAAAAGGAUUAUUGCCUGUCUUUCUCUGCCUCUUGGAAAAGCAGACAAGAGAGAAAAACACAAAGUGAAGAUUUCACAGGGAAUGCACAGAAAUUCCAGCAUGCUAAUAAUCACCAUUAAGCCUCAAGAAUUAGGGCCUGAGGGAGUUCCCAUUGUGGCUCAGGAGUAAGGAACCUGACUAGUAUCCAUGAGGAUGUGGGUUCAAUUCCUGGCUUCACCCAGUGGGUUAAGGAUUCGGCGUUGCCCUGAGCUAUCGUGUAGGUGUAGAUGCGGCUCGAAUCGCUCGUUGCUAUGGCUGUGGCAUAGGCUGGCAGCUACAGCUCUGAUUCAACCCCAAGCCUGGGAACUUCCAUAUGCUACACGUGCAGUCCUAUUUAAAAAAAAAAAAAAAAAAAAAAAAAAAAA
RNAcentral lists this long non-coding RNA (4074 nucleotides) under Sus scrofa (pig). Its description in RNAcentral is "lncRNA (ENSSSCG00060075890.1)". Lineage: Eukaryota; Metazoa; Chordata; Mammalia; Artiodactyla; Suidae. The record is from RNAcentral.